CCUACGGGAGGCAGCAGUGGGGAAUAUUGCACAAUGGGCGAAAACCUGAUGCAGCAACGCCGCGUGAAGGAAGACGGUUUUCGGAUUGUAAACUUCUGUUCUUAGUGAAGAAUCAUGACGGUAACUAAGGAGCAAGCCACGGCUAACUACGUGCCAGCAGCCGCGGUAAUACGUAGGUGGCAAGCGUUGUACGGAAUUACGGGGUGUAAAGGGAGCGUAGGCGGGAAGCCAAGUCAGAUGUUAAAACUCCGGGCUUAACCUGUAGAAUGCAGUUGAAACUGGCUUUCUUGAGUGAAGUAGAGGUUGGCGGAAUGCCGAGUGUAGCGGUGAAAUGCGUAGAUAUUCGGAGGAACACCGGUGGCGAAGGCGGCCAACUGGGCUUUAACUGACGCUGAGGCUCGAAAGUGUGGGGAGCAAACAGGAUUAGAUACCCCAGUAGUC
Molecule: ribosomal RNA, 441 nt
Filed under: uncultured bacterium
Lineage: Bacteria
Description: partial 16S ribosomal RNA
Rfam family: Bacterial small subunit ribosomal RNA
Source: RNAcentral